Long non-coding RNA from Lactuca sativa (garden lettuce), 1362 nucleotides. RefSeq lists it as uncharacterized. Lineage: Eukaryota; Viridiplantae; Streptophyta; Magnoliopsida; Asterales; Asteraceae. The record is from RefSeq and is a predicted model, not a curated record.
UAAUAAUUAAUUUAUGUUUAUCCACGUCAUUUAAUGGAAGCAAAUUACUUCUUGAAUUGGACAACUUCAGUCCCCCGAAAUCUUGAAUUUAGCAAACAACACCCUCUCAGGCUCUAUUCCUGAUUUAUCUAACCUUUCCGCCUUGAAAUACAACUUUCAUGGAAACCGGUUGACCGGUGAAAUCCCGCCGGAGCUACUCUGGCUUCUGAGCUCCAGAAUCUUGAUCUUUCAAGUAACAAUCUUUUAGGAAACAUUACCCAUUUCAAUUUUUGAAAAUGGUAACCUCGAAGCUUUAGUUUUUUCUAGCAAUUCUUUCACCGGUGGGUUCCUGGAGAAACUGUGCUCGGGGGACUCGAAUUUACGCCAUUUGUUUAUCUCCAGCAACCGUCUUUCCGGCGAUUUCCCUUUUCUGGUGCUAAUCUGUUCUUCAAUCGAAGUGGUGGGCAUUUCUGGUAAUAACUUUGGAAACGAAAUACCAUAUGAGAUUCACUAUCUAAAGAACCUCACUGAUCUUUUACUCAACAAUAAUAGUUUUUCCGGUAGUUUACCUUCUGAAAUCGGAAACUUGAGUAAUUUGGUGAAUCUAUAUCUAUUUGGGAACAUGAUUACAGGAAACAUUCCAAUUGAGUUCAGGAAUUGCUCGAUGUUAAAUGAAUUGAUUUUUUUGGGAAUCAUUUCACGGGUCAGAUUUUGGGUACAAUUGGGAAGCUCAAGAAUCUGGUUUUUCUUCAGCUGAGGCAAAAGGAUUUAUCGGGUCGGGUUCCAUUGAGUUUGGGUUACUACAGAAAGCUUCAAACUUUAUCGUUGUGUGAUAACAAGCUUUCAGGAUCACUUUCAAAUACAUUUAGGUAUCUUUUUGAGCUUUCGUUUCUUAGUCUUUAUAAUAAUUCUUUCGAAGGUCCUCUUCCUGAAACAAUCUCUCUUGAAGAAUCUCACAAUUGUGAAUAUUUCUCACAAUCGAUUCUCGGGUUCGAUUUCGCCUCUUGUGGGGUCCGAUUUGUUGUUGUUGUUCGAUUUGACUAAUAACAGUUUCUCCGGGUUUAUUCCUUCAAAAUUAGCGAGGUUGACCAAGCUUUCCGGUGAGAUGCCAUGAGAGAUUGAGAAUCUAACUGGCUUAAAUGUUCUGAAGCUUCAAAGAAACAAUCUCUCCGCAGCUUCGUUUCUUUGUAUCCUUUUCCAUUUUUUGAUUUUGAUUUUGGUAGCAAUUCAUAAGGUUGCUCGAAUUAGUACUUCUUUUGAUAUUAAUAUAUCCAGUUUGUGACAUUUUACUUUCAUUUGAAUUUUGUGUCAUUGGUUUUGAACUAGUUUGAUGAAGUUUUGGUAUGACGUCGAUUAAUUUCAACUAUUUCAUUAUUCAUUUAA